Non-coding RNA from Schistosoma haematobium, 45 nucleotides. The record is from Rfam. NCBI's taxonomy places the organism in Eukaryota, Metazoa, Platyhelminthes, Trematoda, Strigeidida, Schistosomatidae.
AUUCGGCCGACGAGUCCCAAAUGGAAUGAAACGCGCGUCCUGGAU